Molecule: small RNA, 177 nt
Filed under: Gopherus agassizii (Agassiz's desert tortoise)
Lineage: Eukaryota; Metazoa; Chordata; Testudines; Testudinidae
Description: TUC338 (ENSGAGG00000000255.1)
Source: RNAcentral
CUGACAGCCCUGAACUCUGUGCUCCUCUCUUCAUCCACUGAACAGGUACAGCAUGGGCAAUUGCAGAACAAUCUCCAUAGCACUGUCCUGCUGAUGUACCCUAGCUUGACCUAGAGGGAUCCUGCUUAAGGAGGAGAAAGUAGUCCAGGCUCCAGAUCUAUUAAGUCCUUGAUCUCU